This is a long non-coding RNA of Lolium rigidum, 1000 nucleotides long. RefSeq lists it as uncharacterized. Lineage: Eukaryota; Viridiplantae; Streptophyta; Magnoliopsida; Poales; Poaceae. The record is from RefSeq and is a predicted model, not a curated record. The transcript has 4 exons.
CGGCCUCCCACACCGCGCUGCCGGAACAAGCGUCGCCGGGAUGACAGACUGCUGGUCUUCCUCUCGAAGCAGACCACAGCCCACACCCGUCGGGGGCCUUCUCCACCGCGACCCAACCGCUCGGAAUCCGGCGAGGCUGCCCAGAAUCAAGACCGUCCCUUCUCCGUUCGCAAGUAUUCGAGUAGAUUAACUCAUGUGUGCAGGUGAGCACUAGGCUUUACAGUGCAGGUGAGCUGCCCUUCACGGUGAUGAGUUUCUCCAUUUGUUCUGCUGAGAUCUGAAAGCCAUGUAUUUGUAUUAUGCCACUUGUUUACCCGUGUUUACAAAUUUACAAAGUCCUGGGGCAAUAUUUUGAACACAACCUCAGUCACCAAAUGGAAAAAAAAAUGAUAACUUGUAAUGGGUUCAGUUAGACCAACGUUUCAGCAGAGUAGUUUAGUUAAGCAAUAUUGUAUUCAUUUUACUGAGUAAAAAGGAAUACACUUCUUUAUACAGUGUAGUAUUAACAUGCACAGAGGUGCAUUCGACCAGUACUUGUUUUAUUUUACAUGCACAAGGGUGUAUUCAAUUGACUUCAGAAUCGUGUCUUUCUUGAGUAACUGGAGGAGUUGAUGGUCGGACAAGUCGCUGGAUUCUUGGAGUAGCACGCACACCCGUCACUUCCAUCUUCAUCAAGCUGGAUGUGCAGAAAUCCAUGGGAAAGCAAGCCUCACCUCCACAAGAUAAAUUACAGAGGAGUUGCUGCAAAAGAUCAAUGACCUGUUGAUGUGAUUCAUGAGUGACUUGCUAGAUUCUUUUGUUCACUUCCAUGAAGAUUGCUAGUUUAGAAACAUAUAUAAGCUCUUGUGCACUAUUGCUGAUGAAGUGCAUUCAUUGUGAAUUUGACCGAUCUUUGUAUAGCCUGGAUAUGAACAAUGUACUAUAUAAUGAAUCAUGUAAUAUCUUUUGAAAAAAAUGGUUGGAUACGGUCAAUGAUCACUUUGUGAAAUAAUUUCUUGAA